Molecule: ribosomal RNA, 1321 nt
Filed under: human metagenome
Description: bacterial LSU rRNA
Rfam family: Bacterial large subunit ribosomal RNA
Source: RNAcentral
GUUGGCUUGGAAGCAGCCAUUCAUUUAAAGAGUGCGUAACAGCUCACUAGUCGAGCGGUCCUGCAUGGAUAAUACGCGGGCAUAAGCAUAUAACCGAAGCUAUGGGAUUGUAGAUGAUACAAUCGGUAGGAGAGCAUUCCAUUCAGCGUAGAAGCAGUAUCGUGAGGUAUUGUGGAGCGGAUGGAAAAGCAAAUGUAGGCAUAAGUAACGAUAAUGCGGGUGAGAACCCCGCACGCCGAAAGAUCAAGGAUUCCCCGGCAAUGUCAAUCAUCCGGGGGUAAGUCGGAUCCUAAGGGUAAGCCGAGUGGCGAUCCCGAUGGCAAACAGGUUAAUAUUCCUGUACUGAUCAUAACUGCGAUGCAGCGACGCAGAGGUGACACUGCUGCGUACUGACGGAAUAGUACGUUGAAACCCGUAUUCUUUGAUACCGGUAGUGAAGCACGCCGGUAGAGAUGAAAGGUGAUAGUACCGCAAUGCUUCGGUUGCGCGGAUAAUGCAGGUAAGCUGACUGCCAAGAAAACCUGCUAAGCUUCAGGUAAUGAUCAUCCGUACUGUAAACGGACACACGUGAUCAGGUAGAAAAUACUAAGGCGCUCGAGAGAUUCAUGGUUAAGGAACUAGGCAAAAUGGUCCUGUAACUUCGGGAUAAAGGACGCUCUUGUGAAAGAGCCGCAGAUAAUAGGCCCAGGCGACUGUUUACCAAAAACACAUGGCUAUGCUAAUUCGCAAGAAGAUGUAUAUGGCCUGACACCUGCCCGGUGCCGGAAGGUUAAGAGGAGAGCUCAGAUGUAAGUCGAAGGUUUGAAUUGAAGCCCCGGUAAACGGCGGCCGUAACUAUAACGGUCCUAAGGUAGCGAAAUUCCUUGUCGGGUAAGUUCCGACCUGCACGAAUGGUGUAACGAUCUGGACACUGUCUCAACCGUGAGCUCGGUGAAAUUGUAGUCCCGGUGAUGAUGCCGGGUACCCGCAACGGGACGAAAAGACCCCGUGAACCUUUACUAUAGCUUAACGCUGAAUUUGGGUACACAAUGUGUAGGAUAGGCCGGAGGCUUUGAAGCGGGCACGCCAGUGUUCGUGGAGCCGACGUUGAAAUACGGCCCUUUGUGUAUUUGAGUUCUAACCCUGCGAAGGGGACACCGUUUGGUGGGUAGUUUGACUGGGGUGGUCGCCUCCAAAAGCGUAACGGAGGCUUCUAAAGGUGCCCUCAGACCGAUUGGUAACCGGUCGCAGAGUGUAAUGGCAUAAGGGCGCUUGACUGGGAGACAUACAAGUCGAUCAGGUAGGAAACUAGAGCAUAGUGAUCCGGUGGUUCCGCAUGGAA